RNAcentral lists this long non-coding RNA (14984 nucleotides) under Nicotiana tabacum (common tobacco). RNAcentral describes it as "long non-coding RNA (NTAB_LNC003117)". Lineage: Eukaryota; Viridiplantae; Streptophyta; Magnoliopsida; Solanales; Solanaceae. The record is from RNAcentral.
GAUACUACUGUUGUUAAACCUACUAUUGCACUUACAAUUGAAAAAAGAGUUGGGUUAAAUGCUACUGUUGUGCAUGAUUAGGGGCAAGGUGUUGAACGUGUGAGAACUUUAAAUAAUAUAAAUGAUGCAGGUAUUAAGGCAAAGGAACAAGCUAGGCAGAUGCAAGAAACUACAAAAGAUCAACAAAAUACAUAGUUCAAGUAGGGGAGGAAAAAUCUGGGCAGUUUAUUGGGGUUACUGGGGGUGUUGAUUGCCAAGUUGCUACUGCUACUGCAUUAAAGGCUGCUGCUGAUCGACAUGUUUAUUCAAAUAAGAUUUAUAAUGUUCAACAAGUCGAUGGGGCAUAUGUGAUUCAAAUUGGUAAUGGGCGAGGGAUUUCGUUUAUCAACCAACUACUGAAAAUGCAAGUCCAAUAUCUGCAGCCCUGAAGCAAGGUUCUCUGUUUUCUGAGGGGGGAUUUACUAGUAUUCACAAUGCAGUGCGUAAUGCAACUGUUAGAGAUCGUGGAUAUGCUGAAAUGUCAAAUUUGGAGGCUACUGCAGCAUUGAAGGCAGUUGGUGAUCGAGUUGUUUAUGGGGUAGUUGAACCUACUGCUGCACAUGCCGAUUUAAUUGAAAAAUCAUUAGGUCCAAUAACAUCUUUGUCUAGCAAAAAUAAUGUUUCAGUUCACAAAACUCAAACUAGUGUAGAAAAACUCAGUGAAACACCUACAGAAGCACGUGCACAAUUCUAUGCACCUGAACAGAUUCCAUCAGCGUUUCUAUUUCAAUUUUCUGCUGUGCAGCCAGAAAAUAAUUCUAUUCUUAUGGAUGGAAGAUUUAUGGAUCGUGUAGAUGUUAUGGAAUUCGAGUAUGCAGUAUCUAACUUAGCACAAAUACUGGUUGUAAGUACGACCAAUAAUAAAGAAAACGUGGCAACAUUGAAUUGGUUAAGAAUAGUAGUGCUCGACAACAUGCUAAUGUGAACAACUUGGCGGAGGGGUUAACGGUCUGUUAAACACGAAGCUCCAACACUCCUAAUCAACAUUCUUCCAGUCCACAUGUGAAAAAAAUCAUUAAGGAAACUCAGGUUUCCAUGAUGUCGAACGCCACUCCUAUGGCCAAACAACCGUUGGUCACUUUGAAUACAUCGGCACAUGAGAUUCCUUUUCAAUCAUUGGAGUCAUUUGGUGAGUAUUGUAUUGAAUCCGAGCAGCUCCUACUAUCCAUAUGGAAUGAUUAUGAUAUAGUCAAAGAGGAUAUGAGGGAGGAGAGUAAUAUGCAAAUUUGCUGUGGGCUGAUCAAGUUGAGGAUGAAGAGGACGAUGAUGAAGUUGAUUUUGAAUAUGGUAAUGAAAAGGAAAUUGAAUGUGGCAGCCCAUUUUCAGUGGGAUCACCAACGGCACAAGCCCAUGAUAGGGCACUCUUACAUGCAUUGGACAGUCCAACACCACACAAAUUUGCACUUUCAACAGUCGCACAAUGGCUGCAAUCUUCAGGUAAGAACAACAACACAAAUAUUCAAUCUCAAGCCUCAAUUGAUAAACCUAACAUUAAAGAAGGAGUGGUCACCAGGCAACCCCCAAUGCGAGUUGCAAAGCAAAAGGGGGCAACCCCAAUCACAUCCACAAGGCCCAAUCGAUCUAAGAAGAAAUGAUGAAUUUUGAAGACAUUUUGAAGAGAUUGGAAGAAGAAGAAGCCAAAAACCUACAAAUUGAAGAGUGCACAUGCUUGAAAAAAGAGGGGCAACAAUCAAAUAUUUACCGUAUUUUAUUUUACCAUUUUAUAAGUAUAAUCAUAUGUAAUAUCAUGAUAGAGUAUGUUAUAAAUUCUGUGAUGAUCAUACAGUGCUUAGUUCGUUCUUCUUCAUAUUUGUUACAUUCUGGUUAGUAGUUGUGUUCUUUAAUGCCUCAUUAGGAACUAUGAGGUAAGGUUUAGCGUAGUAUGUGCUUGCUCAUGUCCUACGCCUUUGGAAUAUAUCCAUACGGCUAUGAGAUCAUUCACCCUCAUGAGGCUAUGCUAGCAGCCUAUGAGGCUACGUCAAAGGACAUUGGAGGCGCAGAUGGAUGAUUAUAUAGUAAAGUCAUAGUGGCAAGACUACUGCUGCUUUUGUCGCCCUUACUUGUACUCUUCCUUUGUGAUUUUUCUGUUUAAUAUUAAUAUAAAAACUACUAGGAAUCAUGCCUGGUGGUCUAUUUGCUAACAAAAAAAAUAUUGAAAAGGAAGGGCUUACCCUAUUUGUGCUUCAGACUGAAAUCUUCCAUCCUCUCCUAUGUACAAUUCCACCCUUUCUCUUACUUAAUCAAAUUAAAGAAUGCCAUAUACUCUCAUUGCCCUCCUCUUUCUCCUCAACUCCUUGCUAUGAGUGAUCAAUUUUGAAUGAUUGUACUGAAUAUCAACGUGGGGGCCCUUGUGGAUAAAUCAAAAUUUGGGGAUAUAAAUUAGAGAGUAGGAGUAAAGAAAAAGGGUUGGACAGUUGUAUCAAUUUGCUUAAAUUUCAUCCUACUGAGUGUGAAGGACUGGCCUGAGAACGUUUUGUUUGUGCAUGAUAGGUAGUUUUCUAUAAGCCCGUGUGUGGUUGAAUUUGCGACCGCAGAAACAUUUUGCGUAUCGCAAAAUAGUCACAGAGAAAGGCAGAUAAAAGGAUAUAUCUGAAGAACAACAUGCAACCGAUAUGCGGUCGCAUAAGUUGUUAUGCGGCCACUUCUGCAUACCACAUAAUUUGUUUUGCUUCUGAGGGUUGUAUUAUGUGAUAGGUUUUGCGGAUCGCAGAGUUGUUAUGCGAUCGCAUAACUGGUCGCAGAAACAUCUUUGUUUUUAAAUUCCUUAUAAUAUGUUACCCAUGCCUUAUCACUUACUCACUCUUUAUUAAUUGACAGGAAUGGAACCAAAGAAAGUUCGAGCAUCGCGACAACCCACCAAUCAAGGAAAGAGACAUGCUGCUGCUAUAAGCCCACAAUCACAACAAUCCCAAUGCAAGCGGCCUGACUCAUCCAGAACUUUAUCUGCGUAUUCCUCCCAGUAUGAAGAGGAGGAGGCACAACUUGCUCUUAUGCCACCAGUUGACCUCCAUGCCGAAGCAUGCCGAAAGAUGGGUGAGGAUCUCAGGUUUGGGAUCUCCGGCUCUUGGACUUUGUACCUAGAUGGCCUGACAAAGAGAAAGAUCCUCGAAGAAAAGAAGCUAGGCUUGAACGGGUUAAAAUAACACUACCCCCAUGUGCUAGAAAACAUCAAAACAAGAGGAUGGGAGUUCUUCACUCAUGUUCCGGGGGAGUACAAUGAGACACUCAUUAGGGAAUUCUAUGCUUCAUAUGCUGCAUCCAGGAACGCUGAACAGGAGAGAAACCAUAGGUUUUUGGCAUCCGUCUUAGUUUGAGGGGUUGAAAUAUUCUGUGAUGCCUCCUCAAUCACUGAUAUAUAUUAUGAAGCAUGGGAAACAGGCACUUCAGAAUUUAACGCAAGAUUGCAAAUAAGUAAUCCGAGCGUGCUUGGGUAGCCUCUUUCAUAUCCAAGGGAACUCCGUCCUUGAUCGCGCCGCGCCAGAAGAUUCACAUAGGGAUCUUACACAAGAAGGCUAGUAUUGGCUCAGUUUGGUUUGUUCUCAUAUAAUGCCCUCCAGCAAUGAAACUGACCUAAGUAUCGAGAAGGCGAUCCUCAUUGCAUGCAUCAUGUUGGGUAUCAAGGUUAAUGUGGGAGAGCUUAUAUUCCGUGAGUUUAGGAUCCGGGCGAACCAGAAAGAAACCUCGCUUCUUUUUCCAUGCUUAAUCCAUGCUUUGUGUGAAGCUAGGGAAGUUCCUCCUUUACCCAAACAUGACCGUAUAGAAACAGCUGUUCAUGACUCUGACAUUACACGGAUCAAUGAUGCAUUAGAUAAAGUGAUUGAAGGUCCAUUAGAACAUUCAAUCACUCCUCUCCCAGCCUCUGCAACAUCUGCUACCUCAUCAGUGCCCGACACUUCAUCCGCGCCAGCAACAUCCACAUCCACUCCAAGACCAGCCACUGCAACACCACUUGUCUUACUGCCUGCACUUUCAAAGCUUGGGCUACUGGCACAACAUGCAAAUGCCAAAGUGGAUAAAUUGACAAAAGAACUUUCAUCUCUCUUCCGGUAAGAACUGGCCCCGAUCCAAACCUCAGUAAGUGCUCUUCAACAACAACAUCUAUCAUAUGAUAAUCGACUAAAGCGCUUGGAAGUGCGCCUUGAAAGGGUUUGAGAUAGGCAGCGAUGGGGACAUACCUCAACUAAAAAAGAAUGUAUCUGAGCUCAAGUCAGAACUGCAUAAGAUGCAGACACGGGAGUUUGAUUUGACCUCCAUUCUGCCGGUGGAAGGAGAGUAGGGCAUUGGAACCUCCCACAUACCAAGCCAUGAGUUUGAUUUUACAAACAUCAUGUCAGCUGAGGUAGCCCAUGGUACUGCGAUCUCACAAGCUCCGAGCUCCGUUUCACACACCAACGAUCCAGAAGCUGAGGAAUCUGGAGAGUCUGAUGAAGGAACUGAUGAAGAGGAAACUGAUGAGGAGAGGAUACUUGAGGGGGGUGAUAGUAAGAUGGACAAGAGAGGCAAACAAGUUGUUGGUUCUAUAUAUGCACUGGCUAAAGAGGAGGAAGAUGUGAAAAUAACCAUUGCACAGUCCCUUGCAUAUAUAGUCGCCAAAGCUACUACCAUGACCAUACAACAAUCAUUGGGUGAGGCUAGCAGCUCACAGGUCCAAGACCCAGCAACACAACUAUCCAGUCAGAUGUUCCACCUACUGCAUCUAUAGUGUCAGCCCCAAGGCCGCCUCGGAUGUUCCAACCUCCCCAAGUGCCUAGUACGCCCCAGGAAUUCCCAAAAACUUUACUCUUACUUUCUCAAUGCAUUGGGGACAAUACAUGCUCUUUCGUUGAGGGUGGGGUAGUAAAUAUUUCACAACUUGUAUAUAAAAUUUUAAUCUUAAAAUUGUAGAUUUGUAUAUAACAAUGAAUUCUCCUUAGUUUUUCUUCGCUGGGUUCUUUUCCACGGGUGUAAUAGUAGAACCAUGGCCACAAAACAUCUUGGACUUGUUUAGUGAUUUUGUUCUAGCUUCAAGCAUAUGAUAUGUUUUUGUUGAAUAAAGUGCACCCUUCAAAUUUUGUAAAUAAAUGGUUAGUCAGUCUCGUGAAAUCGAGGCUCACUUUUUGACUUUGUGCCUACUUAGAAUCUCAAAUAUCAUGUGAAGAAGCUUUGAGUUGCCUUGUAUUCACUUGAGGGCUAAAAUUAUGCCGAGUCGAAUAGUUCAUGCGUUGUGAGUGAGUUAGAAGUUGUGUAAAUAUUGCACUGCUUAACUUGUAAUCUAUAGAACUUGCCCCGUUGGUUUCUCAAAGCAAUUCUCAGGUUGAUGAUUGGGCGUUGAAAUGAUCUUAGGCUCUCUUUAUGAUUGAUAACUAAUUUUUGACCAAAUAACCUCCUUGGUACAUCUAUUGUCCUAGUUACCCCCCCUGUUGAGCCUUUAACCUUUUAUUUGGCUACUACAUUAUAAACCUUUACCCCUUUGUGAAAUAAGUUCCCUUUGAACCCGUCCUUCCUUGAACGAGUAAGAAUAAGGCUAAAAGCCUAUGUUGGGGGUGUUGGUGUUAAUUGAAAAUUGGUAAAGUUGUACAUUGUGUGUAGAAUAAAAGACCUCAUAGUUGUGUAUAUGAAGAUAAUCAAAAAAAAAAGAAAAAAAAAUGUUGGUGUGGAGUCUUAUGAAAACUAAAGAAAUACGUUGAGGUAGUUCUAUGUCGGUAACUAGAGGUCAAUUAGGGCUAUGCGGUAAAAAGCAAAGUGUAUGUAGAGUUCAAGGAGGGUACAACCACUACAUUCCCAAAUAUUCGUCCAACCCGUCCCGAAGCCUACAUUACAAACCAUGAAAAGUCCUUGGUAAUCUACAACCAAUUAUUCCUAAGAUAACAAUGAUUUAAAAUAAGGGCAAGCAUAUGGACUGAUAUUUGUAGCGUUUAGGCUCCUUUCCGAGUGCAAGAGCGUUUGAUUGUAUCCCCUGUACAUAUUUGUUGAGUUGGGGAUUUUCUUUGAUGUGAGCACGCAUGAAUUGCAAGAAUUAGCAGAAAUUAAGCCUUUUGAGGUAGGAUACAAAUGCAUAUCUAGCUAUGAGUAGCACUCUGUCAUUUUUCUAGAGGCUCAAAAGUUCACUAAAUGAUUAGUCGAACUGUACUUGAUCUUUGUCCUUGAAGAAGGGUGAGAGUUGUGGUUACAUGCUUGUUAGCUAACGGUGAGCAUCAUCCAUAGUCAUUGCUACUUUGCAAUGCAUUUAGUCAGUUCAGUUGAUAUUAUGUUAUAUUUUUGUUUGUUUGUUUGUUUGUCUCUCUUCUAUUGUAGUUGUGUUUAUUUGUUUGUUGCUUGAGGGCAAGCAAAAGUCUAAGUUGGGGGUGUUGAUGUGCCGUAGAAUUGCGGCACUUUUGAUACUAAUUACAUAGACUCUAGCUCGUCUUUUGAAGCAUUUUAAGUUAUUUUGUUAUGUAGUUUUGAUGUUUUGUAGCAAACUAGGCUUGAAGAACCAAGAACAAGGAAAGGGGAACAAAAAAACCAUAGAAUGCCAGAAAUGUUGCAGGUCUGUGACCGCACAACUGAUGUGCGGGCCGCAUACCAACCGCAGAGUGAAGCAUAUUUUCUCAGUUAUGAGAGUGGAUUGUGUGAUCUAUUGUGCGGUCGCAUAAUGCUUAUGCGGACCAAAUAAUGACCAUACAAGUGCAAAGAGAGUUUUUGCGAGAACAAGUCUGCGACAUCAAAUGCGAUCGCGAAAUAAAUAUGCGGACCAUAUAACAGAAAUGCGAUGAACAAUUGGGCAACUUGACAUUCAAUUAUGCAAUGGAGUUGCAGUUAUGCAGGCCGCGAAAGUGUUCUGCGACCUAUUCUGCGAUCGCAGAUGUGAUCCGUAGGGGUAUAUUUGUCAUAUUUUGACCCCGACUUUUAGCCUAUUAUAUAUAGAAUAACUAGGGUUUUUGAGGGACAACUACUUUGAUAGAGAGAGGCUACGCUUAGGACAUUGAAUGCACCAUUAUUUUGGAAGCAUGGGAGAUAAAAUCCAAGACUUUGUCUAUAAUUGUAAGCUUCAUGACUUUAUUUAUUACAUUGCUGUUGUAUUCUAGUAUGAGUAGAUAAGUUUAAAUAUAAAGGUUGUGAAUCCUAUAUGGGUGUAAUGUUAAUGUGUGUUCAUCAUUGAAUGUUUAUAUAAUGGAAAGUUGAUUUCUAUUCAUUUCUCAUGCGUCAUUUGUAGUUGAUGGUUGCAAAUAUUGACUAGUGCCAAUUCAUUCUAUCUUUACUUGGGAAAGUGGGUUAGAAUUUGGUAGAUUUGAAUAGCAAGAACUCAAGGCUCUAAACCCUAUUUAAUAGAAUCUCUUAGGAAUAAGUGGAUUCUAUUUUGCAUAAAUUGGUCGUUCUUAAUUAUCACUUAUUUUAUAUUUGGGAAAAUCAUAAAGAGAAACUACUAUCUAAUUGUUGGAAAAUAUUAGUUAGUAACCUAGAAAUCAUUUGCAUAUCAACGAGCUUCCCAUUUAACAAUAUGAAAUAUGGAUACCGUUAGCAUUGCAUUCCAUUGAUGGAGACACAAUCUUGGUUUCUUAAUCAAUUUUAUCAAAUUAUAUCAAUGAAAUAUCUUGUAUUGAUAAAUCUCAAUUACAACACUCUCUUUUUAAGCUAACGGAGUAGGAUUACGACUUAAGUCAAGUUUUACACUACUCAAGUAACCUUUUCACACCUAUUCCCUGUGAGAUUCAAACCCAACCUAGUUGGGUUACUAUAUUUGACAUCGGUCGCUUUAUACUAUUUAUUUAGGUGUAAUUUGAGCGUAUCUGCAUCUAGUUGGAAAGUACGUGCUUGGGAAGAUUUAAUUGGUUACGUAAUCGUAGCGAUCGUGGUAGGGGUAUGAAAGGGUGUUCAUUUGAGGAUAGUUUACUGUCCUAGAGUCUAUGUGUUUGUAUGGGACUUCAAUUCAGUGAAAGGUACAUAUUUUCAUUCAAGGCACUUAAGGAAAUGGGCCCGACUAUCACGAGGAUGGACAUGCACUAAUUAGGUGAUUUGAGGCAUCUUACGAUAGGAGUUGUACGAGCUAUGAAGGUUGAUAUUGCGGAUCAUCAGAUGAUAUGUCCUAUGGCUUUGCGCCAAGUAGGGGAGUCUACUAUCGACGAUCGGAUUGCAUGGUCAUGUGAUAUAUCAGUCUUGGUCUGAGGUAUAUAUGUGGUAUUGAAUGGUUCCCCGAAAUUUGUAUAUGGUUAAGGACUGAUAUUUGCAUGGGAUAAUGUUGGGACUUGUUGUAUUUUUGUGUCAUUAAUAAUUCUACAUUUUAGUAUCAGAGAGGUUAUUGAAACAACUUCGGAUUCACAAAAAGGUUUCUUCAGAGUGGACAUCUCGGUUGCAACAUUAUAGGGUGCUUCAGAGGAAAUAAAGUGGCUUAUGGGAUUCUAGGCCACGUGGUUCGUGCUAGGAUCUUCUGCAUCGAGAUUUGAUUUUGGGAUCAUUAUGUACCGACAAGAAGAAGUGUUACCCUUAAGAAAGGUCAAGGAGGAUCCGAAGGAAUGGGUCAGUUCGGUGGUGUUGGGCCAGCAUAGCAAGAAAGGUAAUUUGUCCUUUUUGGGUGGUAAUUCUUUAUCGGUAUUUGUGGCAGUACUAUUGGGUUUGACGGUUUGCAUGACUUGAAUGAGUUGGGAAAGUUCAGUCAUAGAUGGCAUGGGCGAUUUCAAAAGUUAAAGGAGUAUUGGAUGGAUAUCACAGAAGAAGAGAUUGCAUUUUUGGAGGCACCUUAUGUUUUGAAUUGCGGAUGUUUGACUAGUGUUACGGUGAUCGCCUGGUUUUAGGCUUCUGAAGUUCAGGUUUUGUUGCAUGGCAUGGCAGAUCUAUGUGGGUGUUUUUCGUAAGAUGAUGGAGUGUGAGUGAAAUACCAUCCAUUUGAGUAGCGGGAUUGAGAUCGGGUAUGGAUACUGGUAUUCAUGAGGUUUUGGGACUGGAUGUCCACGUAGGUAGACUAUUCCUUGAUUGUGGAUUGUGAAGAAAUGUUGAGAAUAGGAUAACUGAUGGCAUACAUUAUGGAUAGGUUUUUAUGAACUUUGGGAAGGUUAUUUAUCUGUUUGGGAAUAACCGGAGUUGGUUUGGGGGUUAUUUGAAAGCCUAAUGAGAAUGUGUAUUCUAUAUCAGAUAAGGUUUUUUUACUCUUACGCAAUUUCUAUCGUGGGUAUAUUAUCGGGCAGAAUGGAUGUUAUUCAUGCCCCAGUCUAUGCUAUGUGCUUCUCUGUUAUGCUUUGAUGGGUUGUGAGGUUAUAUAAUUAUUUUCACGCAUGUUGUAAUCCCAUUCAGGCCUUAUGGUGAUAUGGGUGGGAUGGCCCUCGUGAUGUUUAUUUGUUUAUUGCACCUUAGUUGUUCUUGCUUUUCUCCAUAUUGUAUUAUUCCCAUUCAUCUUUCCACUGUUAUAUUUGUGCUCUCUAGUGUGCUUGAUACUGGGAUACAUGUGAUUAGUGAUCCCAAGCAUUUUGGCUCGAUGGGUGUCCCUAUAUAGAUUGAUAUAUUUUGGAUCGGAUUGCGCGCCGCAACGGAUGCUAUGUGGGAUACUUUCCUUGUGGUUAUUUGAUGUUUUAUUUUCCCUCUGUGGGAUGAGUUAAUGAAAUUGCACUUUUAUUAUUAUAUUUGUUGUACUUGUUAGAUAGUUUUUGUACCUUGCUUUCUUUCUAUUGUUAGAUACUUUCUUUCUGAGUUAUUUCUUGUUUGGUGUAUGGACCAUGUUGUGUGAGAUUCUAUGUGGUUUUGGUGUGACUUAUCAGUGGGCUACUUGUAUGUGUUCAGAUGAGGUUUCUAGACCUGAGAGUUGCACUAUUGUAUUGGGAUGAGGAGUAUUUGAUUGAAUGAUACCCUAUUUCCGCUAAGAAUUGAGCAAUGAGCCUUGUCGAAUGAGAGAACUUCUUGACUAUUGAUUUUGUAGGUGAUUAUGAGUUUUCGCAUGUUUAUUUUAUCACUACCAGCAUCACGGAGGUCUAGAAUGAGGUUUUAUUUUGCAUGAAGUGUAUUACCGGUACCGAGAUUACUAUUUGGCCGAUCUGGUGGUCGGAAGUUGCUACUAUGGAUAGCUGAGGUAUGUUAAAUAUCAGGUGAUUAUACCUUGAGUUGAGGUUGUUACUUGGUCUAAGUUGUCCACGCUUACAUACGGUAUUGAUGCGAGAUUCGAGGCUUAUGAUGAGUUUCAGAAGUUGAGGAUUAGGCUCAAAGGUUUAUAGACUAAGGAUGAGGUGAGAUCUUUAGUUAAAUUGUGUUGUCAGUCUUACAUGGAUUGGGGUGAUGUUCGAUCAUCCCCGGGUGUAUGUAUGGUGAGCUCGUGCAGUGAUUUGAUAGCUUUGGAACGACUCCUGGCACGUUCGAGGACGAAUGUAUGUUUAAGUGGGGGAGGAUGUAACGACCCGACUGGUCGUUUUGAGUAUUUGCAUUCAGUUCGGCGGUUUGAGGUCACAAAUAGCUUCACAUGGUGUAUUAUGACUUACGUGCAACGUCGACUUUGGUUUUUGAGUGGUUCGGAAUUGAUUUUGUAUGAUGACCCUCACUUGAGAAGUUUGAAGUUGAAAGAGUUAACCAAGUUUGACUUUGUAUAUUUGACCCCGAAUCGGAGUUUGGAUGGUCUUGAUAGGUCCGGAUGGUGAUUUUGGACUUGGGAGUAUGCCCGGAGUUGCAUUUGAAUGUUUCUAGAAGGUAUAGGCACCAUUUGGCGGAAGUUGGCAAUUGAAAUAUUUGGAAUUUUUUGUAGUUUGAACAUGGUUUAACUUUAAGGAUAUCGAGUUCGGAUUUUGGUUUUGGGACUUGGAAUAGGUCUGUUUCGUCAUUUGGAACUUGUCUACAAAAUUUGGUGUCGUUUGGAGUUGGUUUGAUGUGGUUUGGACGCUUGGUUGCAAUUCUAGAAGUUCUUAAAGUUCAUUGUGAUUUCAAUGCGUUUUGGUGUCCGAUUCAUGAUUGAUGGUAUUUAGAUGUUUUAAUUGAGAGCGAGUUCAUAUUAUGUUUAUAGACUUGUGUGGAUAUUUGGUUUGGAGCCCCAAUGGCUCAAAUGCGUUUUGAACGUGUUCGAGGGGGGUUAGGGAGGGACCUCCCUUUUGCGAGGAAAUCAUCACUUUUGCGAAGUUGACUGAGGCCUGCAAAGUUUGCAUUUGCAUUGAAGGCCUGGGCUGGGGAAGAGUCCCUUAUGACUUCUAGUGUAGAUUCGUUAUUGCGGUUGGUUUUGUGAUACGCCGUAGUAGGUUGUAGUUAUUUGUGUAAUGCCUAUUUUAUGGGGAUCGGGUUGCAUGCUGCAACAAUAUUGAAAUGAUAUAAAAAUAUAUGAUAUGGAGCGAUAAGGACGAUGACAUGAUAUAGGUGAGAUCGGGUUGCACGCCGCAACAAAUAUUAUUAUUAUUGUUUGGAAUCAGGUUGCACGCCGCAACAGAUUGAUAUAUUGUAAUUGUUGUGACAGUAAAUUUAUCCUGAAUUGUUAUUCUCAUGGUGUGUUCUAUGUUGGAAUGGUUUAUCAGUUGGACGAUUUUAUUUUUUCCCUUAAAUCAUUUAAUUGGUAUUUGAUCAUUUAAUUUCUUGUGUUACUCUAAUGUGCCAUUAUGUGCCUCCAUUAUUACUUGGUAAAUUGAAUGUCAAGGUGAAUUAUAUGGUCAUUAUCUCAUAUUCUGUUGAGUUGUUGGUAACAUAAUGGUUUAAAAUAAAAGAAUUAUUAACAUGUCUUAUUCUAUGUGUCUCUUAAGAUAGAACUCGUUAUAUCACUCAGUUCCUUAAUAGUUUUAAAUGGAUAUCACAUUUGCACUUUAAUUGGGUUCUCAAAUUUUAUUCAUCACCCUAUUGAUGUUUACUUUACUUAAAACAGUUAUCACAUUUUAUUUCUAACAAAUCCUAAAUUUAGCUUGUUAAUUUAACUGAGGUUUUAUUUUGUUUAAAUAUGAUAUUUUUACUUUAUCUUAUUAAUUUCUAAACUAAACCCAUCUGAUACUCUAUUUGCAUGACCUUUCCUUUAUUCUACUUUAUUUGAAUCCUAAAAUAAACAUAUUAUCUCAUUUGACACCUCUUUUUAUUCAAGAUUGUUAUUAUGCUUUAUUGUGUUUUAAUAUAUCUCUCGAUCAUCUUAACUGAUAUUGAUACAUAUGCGAUGUACAUGGUAGCACGAGGACUUUGCCGUGCGAAGGUGAUUGUUAUUGUGAGCACGAGGUGCCAACGUGAAAGAUUUGAAAAUGUGGAUAACGGUUUGUGAUUUCGAGGAGUGGUACAUCAGGGUAAAACUUGUUGCAAGUCCAUGCAUUGAGAACAAUUUAAUUAAUUAAGUUUUUAUCUUUAACUUAUUGAGUUCGUUCAUAUCCCAUCGUUGUUGUGAUUAUGCUGCUGUUCUAUUACCCGUCUACUUCUUUCUAGCAUUUGAGUUUCCAUUAUCUUCGUCGUUGGUUGUAAAUUAUAAUCCUUCCAUUGUUAGUCCUACAUGUAUGUUCUUUCCAUUGUUAAUUUUGUGUUACAUCUUGUAUAGGUUUCUAUGUUUAGUAGGUGUCUUGACCUGGCCUCGACACUACUCCACCGAGGUUAUGCUUGAAACUUUUGGGUACCAUUGUGGUGUACUCAUGCUACGCUCCUGCACCAUUUUGUGUAGAUUCAUGUACUUUUGAUCGUGUUAUUGAGAGUUGUGUCUGCGCGGAUGAAGACUUCAAGGUACACCUGCUUGACGUUCGAAGGCCUCAGAGUCACCCUCAGUUAUCUUCGCAUUACUGUUUAUCCUUUUAUAAGACAAUGUUGUAUUAGAGGUUUUAGUACGUUUCUGUAGAGCUUACGACUCACUUUCACCGUGUUUUGGGAAUGUUAACUAGGUAUCAUAUUUUUAGUCGUUAUUUCUAUAAUAUUUCCUUGUUGAUUAGGCUUACCUAGACUUAGAGGCUAGGUGCCAUCACGGCAUCUUAUGGUGAGAAAAAUGGGAUCGUGACAUGGACCCCGAGAUAUACUUGUGCCAGUGAGGGGCGCCUCAACCACAAAACCAGGCUCACACCAAAAUACCCUUGAACUUUGACCAUUACUCUUCCUCAAAGGUUUGAGCUCAAACAAAUGUUAAUUCACCAACUCAACCAACAUAUAACAUGAAAGGUAGAAGGUUCAUCAAAUAACCUUUCAAAGGUUCAGCAAUUCAAAAACACCAACUUGAAAUCAAACAACCUUGUUAAGAAUUGAAGCCAUCAUUAGAGUGCCAAACCAUAAGAAACUAAGGACUUAACACAAUAUGGACCUUGAAUAUAAGAAUAGGUCAUUGUAACUGGAUCAUUAAAGGUUUGAUGGUAACAAAAGGCCUUGAUAGGUCACAAAGCAAAGAAGGUUGGUUGUAUGCUGACAGUACAUAGGUUCUAUUUCUUACAACUUCAAGUUUAAGAAUGCCUUAUUGAGUAGUCUAAAGUAUAAGUAAGUGACAAUGAUGGGCAUAUGCACUUGUUUUAUUAUUUUCAAUAAAGGUGCAACACUUUAGAACCUUCUUAAAUACGUUCAGAUCACUAGAGCAAGUAACAGACAUCUUAACAAUUUUUGGAACAGUUGUGAGCAAAUAUGCAUAUAAUAACCUCUCUUCAUUAAACACUUAUGCUAAUGACCUCACUCAGAAUUCAAAGGGGGUAUACGAAUCAGCUGGGAUAACAUGGAUAUUAACAUGACUAGGAAGGCUAGCUUUAGUCUUUAUUUAAACCUAAUGGCCGUGGUAUUUAGUCAUGACAAUGCACACAGUCUAUUAGGUUUCAAAUUACCAGAACCAAACAAUACUCAGAUUCAUUAGUGAGUACUCCCUAAUCAGUGUUGUCAAACAGUUAUGAAAUAAAAAGUAGAGAUGUUCUUUUUUAGUUGGUCAAAGCAGGGUAAGUAGAUCACAUCAAGUGACCAUUUAGACAUGUAAGCAAGUUUAUCAAUAAGUCAUGACAACAAAUCUCCCCACAAGAUUUUAUUUUAUACAAGUUGUCAUGAUAGACACACAUGAAUCAUUUUAUCAUAACUGUGCAAUACAUCACAUUAUCAUAAACAAGAUGUCAGUUAGAGUCAUUUAGGUAAACAAAUAAACAUUAGAAUAUGAGCAUAAUCAUCAAUAAGAACCAGUCAAUAGACUAGACCAAAAUAUCAUGACAUUAAAGGUUGAGACAAACAUAAUGAUGCAUGCAUAAGGGUCUUAGCUAGUUAACAUAAUGAUUUAAGCAUGAAAUUUUCUUAACUAAUGGCAUGUAAAACUUUACGAACAUUACUUGAUUAGAAAAAAUCAUGAUAAAUAUAGGCACAAACAUAAAAAUCAAUAAGUGCCAUUCAAUAAAUACAACAGUGUAGGUUGCACAUAACUACUAUCAUAGAAUUCAGACAGUCACGAGGAAUUAAUAGAUUGUUUAUAAAGACAACAAUAAGGCGUCAUUUCAGUUAUUUAAGCAUGAUCAAACGAUUCAACGAUCAUCAUGAAAUAUUUAUUUGACAACAACACAUGGAUAAACACAAUCUUCAGCAAACAUCAUUAAUAUAAACAAGAGUAACACAAGAGCAUAAUACAAUAAGAAGGUUGCAUGUGUACAGAUGAACACCAUGAAGAGGAGAAUAUCAAAUAAUAACAGAAAAAUAUCAGAACAAAGAGCUACAUAAUUAAUUGAAAGAAUGAAAGAGAGGAGUCAGUGUUCACUGACCUUCUUCAGAGAAGCAAACCCAAUAAGGAUGAUUUGUAGCCAUUUAAGAAUCCAACCUCACAACCAACUUACAAUAAUCAAACUCGAACAAGAAGAAAAGUGAAAGAGAUUAGAGAAGAACUUCGGAAUACUUAGAUCAACAGAAAAUUCUUAAGUCUUAGUGUGUGUUAUGUGUUCUUUCAAUGCCUUUUUCGUGAUUUUUCAGUGUUUGGUGAGAGCAUUAAAAGCUCUAGUUAUAGUAGUAUUGAAGCCUUAGGGCUUCAUUUGAAUUCAAAGGGAUAGUGGGGGAUGACGAGUGAUGAGUGACUGAUGAUGAUAUCAAAAGGGGGGAAAACAGAAGGAGAACAAAUCGGAAAUCAGGAUGGAGCU